CCCGGGUAUCCCCAUUACUGCUAGCAAUGCGCACGCGGCUGUCUGUUACGUUGAUGUUAAAUCCCCUUUCUUAACCUGGGAACUGCAUUUGACACUGUUAGGGUUUUGUCUCCUACAGGGGGUGAUAAGUCUCAGAGUACCGGCUGAAUGGGUUAAGACGUGGACGAAUACCGUGGGCGAACGGGGGCCCCUGUGCGAAGACUGGCUCUCUUAGAGGACGGCGAGGGGACCUUUCUGGAUUAGAUACCCUGGGACCCCACGCUCAAAAUAUGUCAACUUGGAGCGUGUUCCCUUGAGCCAUGCUUCCGAAUAUCCGGGUUAUCUAACCGCCUGGGGACUAUGGCCGCUUCGUUGGACUCAAAUGAAUUGACGGGGGCCCGCACAAGCGGUGGAUCAUGUGCUUGAAUUCCAUGCAGCGCGGAGAACCUUACCUACUCUUGACAUCCAACCAACUUGGCAGACAUGCCUUGGUGCCUUCUGGAACGCUGAGACCCGUGCUGCAUGCCUGUCGGCAACUCCCGCUGUGAAAUGUUGGGUUAAGGCCCGCACCAACCGGAACCCUUAUCCUUUGUGGUCCCCGAUUCUUCCCGGAACUCAGAGGAGACUGCCGGUGAUAAACCGGAUGAACGUGGGGAUGACGUCAGAUCAUCAUGGCCCUUACGAGUAGGGCUACACACGUGCUCCAUGGCGCAUACUAAGAGAAGCGACCUCGCAAGAGCAUGCGGAGCUCACACAGGGCGUCUUACUCCGGAUCGGACUCUGCAACUCGACUCCGUGAACCCCCAUCGCUACUAUCAUGCUCCAAUGCC
Molecule: ribosomal RNA, 809 nt
Filed under: Pantoea sp.
Lineage: Bacteria; Pseudomonadati; Pseudomonadota; Gammaproteobacteria; Enterobacterales; Erwiniaceae
Description: bacterial SSU rRNA
Rfam family: Bacterial small subunit ribosomal RNA
Source: RNAcentral